Molecule: ribosomal RNA, 439 nt
Filed under: uncultured bacterium
Lineage: Bacteria
Description: bacterial SSU rRNA
Rfam family: Bacterial small subunit ribosomal RNA
Source: RNAcentral
UGGGGAAUCUUGGACAAUGGGCGCAAGCCUGAUCCAGCCAUGCCGCGUGAGUGACGAAGGUCUUCGGAUUGUAAAACUCUUUUGGCGGGGACGAUAAUGACGGUACCCGCAGAAUAAGCCCCGGCUAACUUCGUGCCAGCAGCCGCGGUAAUACGAAGGGGGCUAGCGUUGUUCGGAAUCACUGGGCGUAAAGCGCACGUAGGCGGAUGUGCCAGUCAGGGGUGAAAUCCCGGAGCUCAACUCCGGAACUGCCUCUGAUACUGCACGUCUUGAGUUCGAGAGAGGUGGGUGGAAUUCCUAGUGUAGAGGUGAAAUUCGUAGAUAUUAGGAAGAACACCGGUGGCGAAGGCGGCCCACUGGCUCGAUACUGACGCUGAGGUGCGAAAGCGUGGGGAGCAAACAGGAUUAGAUACCCCCUGAGCGGGCUGGCAAGGCGCAU